CUAACUCCGUGCCAGCAGCCGUAGUAAGGGGGGGGGGAGUGUUCUUCGGAAUGACUGGGCGUAAAGGGCACGUAGGUGGUGAAUCUGGUUGAAAGUGAAAGUCACCAAAAAGUGGCAGAAUGCUCUUGAAACCAAUUCACUUGAGUGAGACAGAGGAGAGUGGAAUUUCGUGUGUAGGGGUGAAAUCCAUAGAUCUACGAAGGAACGCCAAAAGCGAAGGCAGCUCUCUGGGUCCCUACCGACGUUGGGGUGCGAAAGCAU
RNAcentral lists this ribosomal RNA (261 nucleotides) under Triticum aestivum (bread wheat). RNAcentral describes it as "partial small subunit ribosomal RNA". It matches the Rfam family "Bacterial small subunit ribosomal RNA", at positions 497 to 762 of the family's 1533-position model. The record is from RNAcentral. Lineage: Eukaryota; Viridiplantae; Streptophyta; Magnoliopsida; Poales; Poaceae.